RNAcentral lists this small RNA (678 nucleotides) under uncultured fungus. RNAcentral's name for it is "eukaryotic LSU rRNA". The stretch from base 255 to 408 matches the Rfam family "5.8S ribosomal RNA". Lineage: Eukaryota; Fungi. The record is from RNAcentral.
GGAAGGAUCAUUAUUGAAUGAACUUGGUGUGGUUGUUGCUGGCCCUCUCGGGGGCAUGUGCACACCCGCCAUCCUCAUCUCUCCACCUGUGCACCUUUUGUAGACCUGGAUGGACUUUCCGAGGCAACUCGGUCGGGAAGAUUGCUGCGCUCUGUGUGCCAGCUUUCUUUGCAUGUCCAGGCCUAUGUUUUUCAUAUACCCCUAUAGAAUGUAACAGAAUGUAUCAUUGGGCCUUGUGCCUAUAAACCUUAUACAACUUUCAGCAACGGAUCUCUUGGCUCUCGCAUCGAUGAAGAACGCAGCGAAAUGCGAUAAGUAAUGUGAAUUGCAGAAUUCAGUGAAUCAUCGAAUCUUUGAACGCACCUUGCGCUCCUUGGUAUUCCGAGGAGCAUGCCUGUUUGAGUGUCAUUAAAUUCUCAACCUUAUUAGCUUUUGUUGAUAAUGGAUUGGAUGUGGGGGUUUCUUUUGCUGGCUUCUUCACAGAGAUCAGCUCCCCUUAAAUGCAUUAGCUGGUGCCCCGCGUGGACCAUCUAUUGGUGUGAUAAUUAUCUACGCCGUGGAUGUCUGCAAUCAUAUGGGUUUUGCACUGCUUCUAACCGUCUGUUCAUUCGGACAAUACAUGACAAUUUGACCUCAAAUCAGGUAGGACUACCCGCUGAACUUAAGCAUAUCAAUAAG